CGGCAGCACAAUAUGUAGCAAUACAUAUGGGUGGCGAGUGGCGGACGGGUGCGUAAUGUGUAGGGAUCUGCCCUGAAGUGGGGGACAACCCGGGGAAACUCGGGCUCAUACCGCAUAAUACUCUACGGAGGAAAUCUGGCUACGCAAGUAGCUGGGGCUUUAGGAUGAACCUACAUCCGAUUAGGUAGUUGGUGGGGUAAUGGCCUACCAAGCCGACGAUCUGUAGGUGGUCUGAGAGGGUGAUCACCCACACGGGGACUGAGACACGGCCCAGACUCCUGCGGGAGGCAGCAGUGGGGAAUAUUGGACAAUGGGCGCAAGCCUGAUCCAGCCAUGCCGCGUGGAUGAAGAAGGCCCUAGGGUUGUAAAGUCCUUUCGACGGAGACGAUAAUGACGGUAUCCGUAGAAGAAGCCCCGGCUAAUUUCGUGCCAGCCGCCGCCGUAA
Molecule: ribosomal RNA, 445 nt
Filed under: uncultured bacterium
Lineage: Bacteria
Description: partial 16S ribosomal RNA
Rfam family: Bacterial small subunit ribosomal RNA
Source: RNAcentral